This 496-nucleotide ribosomal RNA is filed under the name uncultured bacterium. Its description in RNAcentral is "partial 16S ribosomal RNA". It matches the Rfam family "Bacterial small subunit ribosomal RNA", at positions 29 to 507 of the family's 1533-position model. The record is from RNAcentral.
AUGAACGCUGGCGGCGUGCCUAAUACAUGCAAGUCGAGCGAACGGACGAGAAGCUUGCUUCUCUGAUGUUAGCGGCGGACGGGUGAGUAACACGUGGAUAACCUACCUAUAAGACUGGGAUAACUUCGGGAAACCGGAGCUAAUACCGGAUAAUAUUUUGAACCGCAUGGUUCAAAAGUGAAAGACGGUCUUGCUGUCACUUAUAGAUGGAUCCGCGCUGCAUUAGCUAGUUGGUAAGGUAACGGCUUACCAAGGCAACGAUGCAUAGCCGACCUGAGAGGGUGAUCGGCCACACUGGAACUGAGACACGGUCCAGACUCCUACGGGAGGCAGCAGUAGGGAAUCUUCCGCAAUGGGCGAAAGCCUGACGGAGCAACGCCGCGUGAGUGAUGAAGGUCUUCGGAUCGUAAAACUCUGUUAUUAGGGAAGAACAUAUGUGUAAGUAACUGUGCACAUCUUGACGGUACCUAAUCAGAAGGCCACGGCUAACUACGUG